CUCUCUCUCUCUCUCUCUCUCUCCUCCUAGUCAUGGACUUGUUGUAUGUUGAGAACCAUGCCAAGAGGAGGAGGAAGAUGAGGAGCAACCUCGAUCAGGAUGAUCCACCAUCAACUGGAAUGGAACAUCUACCCCUUGAGAUCGUCCAUGAUAUACUUUCAAGAUUACCCAUCUCUUCUUUGGUGCAAUUCAGGUGUGUUUGUAAAGCUUGGAGAGCCUUAGCACAAGAUCCUCACCUUGUAAAAUUCUAUCUCUCAACUUCAACAACCAACGAUCCUUGCCUAAUCCUUCACUGCGAUUUUCCCAUCAGGAACCAGCUUUACUUCGUGGAUUUGGCUGCUGCUCCCCACCAAGGAAAAGACAAGGUAAAAAGAAUCAAUGCACCCUUUUGGCCUAUGAUGCCUGAAUUCGAUGUGGUAGGCUCCUGUAAUGGUUUACUUUGUUUAGCUGACUCGCUAUACAAUGAUGCUGUUUAUGUUUACAACCCUUUCACUAGGAACCAUGUAGAGCUCCCAAAAUCGCUGAAAUAUCCU
This 533-nucleotide unclassified non-coding RNA is filed under the name Hevea brasiliensis (rubber tree). Lineage: Eukaryota; Viridiplantae; Streptophyta; Magnoliopsida; Malpighiales; Euphorbiaceae. The record is from RNAcentral.